RNAcentral lists this ribosomal RNA (497 nucleotides) under uncultured bacterium. Its description in RNAcentral is "partial 16S ribosomal RNA". It matches the Rfam family "Bacterial small subunit ribosomal RNA", at positions 28 to 507 of the family's 1533-position model. The record is from RNAcentral.
GACGAACGCUGGCGGCGUGCCUAAUACAUGCAAGUCGAGCGCAGGGGGGUGGUGCUUGUACCUAUGGGGUGAGCAGCGGACGGGUGAGUAACGCGUGGGUAAUCUGCCUUUAAGCGGGGGAUAACAUUGGGAAACGGAUGCUAAUACCGGAUAAAAUUUUUAACCACAAGGUUUAAAUGUGAAAGAUGGUAUUGCAGCACCCAAAGAUGGUAUCCGCUUUGAAUAAGCUGGUGGGUAGGGUAACGCCUUACAAAGGGAAGGUACCAUACCCACCCUGAGAGGGGGAUCGCCCACACGGGAACGGAGACACGCCCCAGCCCCUUCCGGGAGGCGGAGGAGGGGAUCCUUCCGCAAUGGGCGAAAGCCGGACGGGGAAACCCCGCGUGAGUGAUAAAGGUCUCCGGAUCGUAAAACUCUUUGAUUAGGGAAGAAGAUAUUUGUAGUUAAAUGUGCACAUAUUGACGGUAACUACUCAGAAAGCCACGGCUAACUACGUG